RNAcentral lists this long non-coding RNA (200 nucleotides) under Elaeis guineensis (African oil palm). RNAcentral describes it as "long non-coding RNA (EGUI_LNC011061)". The record is from RNAcentral. Lineage: Eukaryota; Viridiplantae; Streptophyta; Magnoliopsida; Arecales; Arecaceae.
GCGUGGACGAUUGUAUACAUGUAUGCCAUUUGGAGGAUGGUCUUAUACUUAUCCCGGCAAGAACAUAAAACCUAAUGCCACCUUGGCCAGGGUCCAUUGAGCAACUGUUGGAGGUAGUACACGUGGCCCAUGCCUCAGACCAAUUUGACAUUGGAUGUCUUUUCGUCACAUGUUGAUGACAGCAAAGGGUAACUACCAUU